RNAcentral lists this ribosomal RNA (253 nucleotides) under uncultured bacterium. Its description in RNAcentral is "partial 16S ribosomal RNA". It matches the Rfam family "Bacterial small subunit ribosomal RNA", at positions 524 to 776 of the family's 1533-position model. The record is from RNAcentral.
UACGGGGGGGGCAAGCGUUGUUCGGAAUUACUGGGCGUAAAGGGCGCGUAGGCGGCCAACUAAGUCAGACGUGAAAUCCCCAGGCUCAACCUGGGAACUGCGUCUGAUACUGGAUGGCUUGAAUCCGGGAGAGGGAUGCAGAAUUCCAGGUGUAGCGGUGAAAUGCGUAGAUAUCAGGAAGAACACCCGUGGCGAAAGCGGCUCUCUGGAACGGUACUGACGCUGAGACGCGAAAGCGUGGGGAGCGAACAGG